This 468-nucleotide ribosomal RNA is filed under the name uncultured bacterium. Its description in RNAcentral is "partial 16S ribosomal RNA". It matches the Rfam family "Bacterial small subunit ribosomal RNA", at positions 28 to 507 of the family's 1533-position model. The record is from RNAcentral.
GACGAACGCUGGCGGCGUGCUUAACACAUGCAAGUCGAACGGAAAGGCCCUGCUUUUGUGGGGUGCUCGAGUGGCGAACGGGUGAGUAACACGUGAGUAACCUGCCCUUGACUUUGGGAUAACUUCAGGAAACUGGGGCUAAUACCGGAUAGGAGCUCCUGCUGCAUGGUGGGGGUUGGAAAGUUUCGGCGGUUGGGGAUGGACUCGCGGCUUAUCAGCUUGUUGGUGGGGUAGUGGCUUACCAAGGCUUUGACGGGUAGCCGGCCUGAGAGGGUGACCGGACACAUUGGGACUGAGAUAAGGCACAGACUCCUACGGGAGGCAGCAGUGGGGAAUAGUGCACAAUGGGCGGAGGCCUGAUGCAGCAACGCCGCGUGCGGGAGGACGGCCUUCGGGUUGUAAACCGCUUUCGCCUGUGACGAAGCGUGAGUGACGGUAAUGGGUAAAGAAGCACCGGCUAACUACGUG